UACAGAGACUGCAAGCGUUACUCGGAUUCACUGGGCGUAAAGGGAGCGCAGGCGGACCGGUGUGUCAGAUGUGAAACCCCAGGGCUCAACCCUGGGACUGCGUCUGAAACUGCCGGUCUAGGGACUCGGAGGGGCUAGUGGAAUUCCUGGUGGUGCAGUGAAAUGCGUAGAUAUCAGGAGGAACACCAACGGCGAAGGCAGCUAGCUGGACGAGAUCCGACGCUCAGGCUCGAAAGUAUGGGGAGCAAAAAGG
RNAcentral lists this ribosomal RNA (253 nucleotides) under uncultured bacterium. RNAcentral's name for it is "partial 16S ribosomal RNA". It matches the Rfam family "Bacterial small subunit ribosomal RNA", at positions 524 to 776 of the family's 1533-position model. The record is from RNAcentral.